GCGGGUUUUGUGUGAAAUCCAAUCUCUACAACUAUUCAAUACACCAACCACUCCAUUUCAUAACGAACUUCGUACGAACCUGAGUUGUCCAAUUUCUUGGACUAAUCUAUAUCGGAUUGAGUCCAAAACUUGGGGAUUAUCCUAAUACGGUGGGAGGAGUCAUUUGAUGUCUUUUGAGUGUAAUGCAAUCUCUAAAACUAUGCAAUACACCAACCACUCCUUUUCAGAACGAACUUCGUA
Molecule: long non-coding RNA, 240 nt
Filed under: Prunus persica (peach)
Lineage: Eukaryota; Viridiplantae; Streptophyta; Magnoliopsida; Rosales; Rosaceae
Description: long non-coding RNA (PPER_LNC005298)
Source: RNAcentral